This 499-nucleotide ribosomal RNA is filed under the name uncultured Actinomycetes bacterium. Its description in RNAcentral is "bacterial SSU rRNA". It matches the Rfam family "Bacterial small subunit ribosomal RNA", at positions 355 to 864 of the family's 1533-position model. The record is from RNAcentral. Lineage: Bacteria; Bacillati; Actinomycetota; Actinomycetes.
UGGGGGAUCUUGCGCAAUGGGCGAAAGCCUGACGCAGCGACACCGCGUGAGGGACGACGGCCCUCGGGUUGUAAACCUCUUUCGGCAGGGACGAAGCGAUCGUGACGGUACCUGCAGAAGAAGCUCCGGCUAACUACGUGCCAGCAGCCGCGGUAAGACGUAGGGAGCGAGCGUUGUCCGGAUUCAUUGGGCGUAAAGAGCGCGCAGGCGGCUUGGUAAGUCGGAUGUGAAAACCCGGAGCUCAACUCCGGGCGUGCAUCCGAAACUGCCCGGCUAGAGGUAGGUAGGGGAGAUCGGAAUUCCUGGUGUAGCGGUGGAAUGCGCAGAUAUCAGGAGGAACACCGGUGGCGAAGGCGGAUCUCUGGGCCUUACCUGACGCUCAGGCGCGAAAGCUAGGGGAGCAAACAGGAUUAGAUACCCUGGUAGUCCUAGCUGUAAACGUUGGGUGCUAGGUGUGGGUGGACAUCGACCCAUCCGUGCCGAAGCUAACGCAUUAACG